AGUAGACGCCAAUGCAAUAGAUAGAGUUCUGCUUCGAUCUUCCAAGCCAUCCCUGCAUGCCAAUGUUGACUGUAAUGCACUUACUGCUGCAAUUGUCAGCCGACAGAUAUCAGUGGUUAGAUUGCUGUUGCAGGUUGGCGUCAGGAUGGACACUAAGGUGAGGCUGGGAGCCUGGUCUUGGGACAUGGAUACAGGUGAAGAAUUCCGAGUUGGUGCUGGGUUAGCCGAG
RNAcentral lists this unclassified non-coding RNA (229 nucleotides) under Hevea brasiliensis (rubber tree). The record is from RNAcentral. Lineage: Eukaryota; Viridiplantae; Streptophyta; Magnoliopsida; Malpighiales; Euphorbiaceae.